CUUAGUACGGCGAGUGAAGCGGCAAAAGCUCAAAUUUGAAAUCUGGUACCUUCGGUGCCCGAGUUGUAAUUUGGAGAGGGCAACUUUGGGGCCGUUCCUUGUCUAUGUUCCUUGGAACAGGACGUCAUAGAGGGUGAGAAUCCCGUGUGGCGAGGAGUGCGGUUCUUUGUAAAGUGCCUUCGAAGAGUCGAGUUGUUUGGGAAUGCAGCUCUAAGUGGGUGGUAAAUUCCAUCUAAAGCUAAAUAUUGGCGAGAGACCGAUAGCGAACAAGUACAGUGAUGGAAAGAUGAAAAGAACUUUGAAAAGAGAGUGAAAAAGUACGUGAAAUUGUUGAAAGGGAAGGGCAUUUGAUCAGACAUGGUGUUUUGUGCCCUCUGCUCCUUGUGGGUAGGGGAAUCUCGCAUUUCACUGGGCCAGCAUCAGUUUUGGUGGCAGGAUAAAUCCAUAGGAAUGUAGCUUGCCUCGGUAAGUAUUAUAGCCUGUGGGAAUACUGCCAGCUGGGACUGAGGACUGCGACGUAAGUCAAGGAUGCUGGCAUAAUGGUUAUAUGCCGCCCGUCUUGAA
RNAcentral lists this ribosomal RNA (564 nucleotides) under Saccharomyces cerevisiae (brewer's yeast). Its description in RNAcentral is "partial large subunit ribosomal RNA". It matches the Rfam family "Eukaryotic large subunit ribosomal RNA", at positions 79 to 658 of the family's 3401-position model. Lineage: Eukaryota; Fungi; Ascomycota; Saccharomycetes; Saccharomycetales; Saccharomycetaceae. The record is from RNAcentral.